RNAcentral lists this ribosomal RNA (667 nucleotides) under uncultured Actinomycetales bacterium. RNAcentral's name for it is "bacterial SSU rRNA". It matches the Rfam family "Bacterial small subunit ribosomal RNA", at positions 64 to 744 of the family's 1533-position model. The record is from RNAcentral. Lineage: Bacteria; Bacillati; Actinomycetota; Actinomycetes; Actinomycetales.
GAACGGAAAGGCCCUGCUUGCAGGGUACUCGAGUGGCGAACGGGUGAGUAACACGUGGGUGAUCUGCCCUGCACUUCGGGAUAAGCUUGGGAAACUGGGUCUAAUACCGGAUAGGAACCAUCUUUAGUGUGGUGGUUGGAAAGUUUUUUCGGUGUAGGAUGAGCUCGCGGCCUAUCAGCUUGUUGGUGGGGUAAUGGCCUACCAAGGCGGCGACGGGUAGCCGGCCUGAGAGGGUGUACGGCCACAUUGGGACUGAGAUACGGCCCAGACUCCUACGGGGGGCAGCAGUGGGGAAUAUUGCACAAUGGGCGCAAGCCUGAUGCAGCGACGCCGCGUGGGGGAUGAAGGCCUUCGGGUUGUAAACUCCUUUCGCUAGGGACGAAGCUUUUUGUGACGGUACCUAGAUAAGAAGCACCGGCUAACUACGUGCCAGCAGCCGCGGUAAUACGUAGGGUGCGAGCGUUGUCCGGAAUUACUGGGCGUAAAGGGCUCGUAGGUGGUUUGUCGCGUCGUCUGUGAAAUUCUGGGGCUUAACUCCGGGCGUGCAGGCGAUACGGGCAUAACUUGAGUGCUGUAGGGGUAACUGGAAUUCCUGGUGUAGCGGUGAAAUGCGCAGAUAUCAGGAGGAACACCGAUGGCGAAGGCAGGUUACUGGGCAGUUACUGAC